GCUCUUUUCAGCAGCAUGUCCUAAAAUUGGAAUGACUGGAGAUUAGCAUGACCCUUGUGCAAAGAUGACAUGCAAAUUUGUGAAGUGUUCAGUAUUCCA
RNAcentral lists this small nuclear RNA (99 nucleotides) under Carlito syrichta (Philippine tarsier). The record is from RNAcentral. Lineage: Eukaryota; Metazoa; Chordata; Mammalia; Primates; Tarsiidae.